This 702-nucleotide long non-coding RNA is filed under the name Elaeis guineensis (African oil palm). RNAcentral describes it as "long non-coding RNA (EGUI_LNC052866)". Lineage: Eukaryota; Viridiplantae; Streptophyta; Magnoliopsida; Arecales; Arecaceae. The record is from RNAcentral.
AAUUGCUAGUACAUGAAUUAACCCAAAUUCUCAAUUGGGUUCAGUGCAAAGAUGUUUUGUGCUAACCCUUGACUUGAUGCCUUGAUCUAAUGAGAUUAGGUUCAAUCCUUAAGUCAUGAGAUAGCUUAACUUAUUAUUUUGAAAGUGUUUCAGCUUAUCUAGGAUUGCUCCAUGCCAUUCACCAUGCCAAAGAAAUAAAUGGCACCAUUUUUUGCAUUAAGAAGGAAGAGUCCUUAACGAAGACUCUUAACUCUUUUUUAUUUUUUCACACGUUCCUUUUACUCCACACACCAUUUGAUGGCUCUUGGGGAUAUGUUGGCAUAGAAGUGGAGGAGUCCUUUUGCUUGAAGGCUCUUCGAUACCCAAUUUCUUUCCAUAUAAAAGAAUUUAUUCUUUGUGGAAGACUAGGGACAUCGCGUGGGAGUUUAUGCACCAAUCUGAUUUCUUCUCCCUUUCCUCUUAAUUCUUACACACCUUAAUUUAUGGGACAUGAGAAGGAAGAGUUCUUCUACUCCUAAAUUUCCUCACAUGCUAUUUAAUUAUGGUGAUUUAUUGAAAUCACUAUGUGGAAUGAGAGAUGCCAAGUGUUGGCAUCCCUUGAAAAAAAUAUGGUGCCUCUUCUGAUCCUAUAAAUAAGGAGGUGCUAACUCAGGUUCCACAUCUCAUUUUUGAUUGAGAUUGGGCAUAAGAGUGAGAGAAAAC